RNAcentral lists this ribosomal RNA (429 nucleotides) under Pseudomonadota bacterium. Its description in RNAcentral is "Proteobacteria bacterium partial 16S ribosomal RNA". It matches the Rfam family "Bacterial small subunit ribosomal RNA", at positions 355 to 776 of the family's 1533-position model. The record is from RNAcentral. Lineage: Bacteria; Pseudomonadati; Pseudomonadota.
UGGGGAAUAUUGGACAAUGGGCGAAAGCCUGAUCCAGCCAUGCCGCGUGUGUGAAGAAGGUCUUCGGAUUGUAAAGCACUUUACGUUGGGAGGAAGGGCAGUAAGCGAAUACCUUGCUGUUUUGACGUUACCGACAGACUAAGUACCGGCUAACUCUGUGCCAGCAGCCGCGGUAAUACAGGGGGUGCAAGCGUUAAUCGGAAUUACUGGGCGUAAAGCGCGCGUAGGUGGUUCGUUAAGUUGAAUGUGAAAGCCCCGGGCUCAACCUGGGAACUGCAUCCAAAACUGGCGAGCUAGAGUAUGGCAGAGGGUGGUGGAAUUUCCGGUGUAGCGGUGAAAUGCGUAGAUAUAGGAAGGAACACCAGUGGCGAAGGCGACCACCUGGGCUCAUACUGACACUGAGGUGCGAAAGCGUGGGGAGCAAACAGG